This 391-nucleotide unclassified non-coding RNA is filed under the name soil metagenome. Its description in RNAcentral is "partial contains 5.8S ribosomal RNA, internal transcribed spacer 2, and large subunit ribosomal RNA". The stretch from base 1 to 122 matches the Rfam family "5.8S ribosomal RNA", at positions 35 to 154 of the family's 154-position model. The record is from RNAcentral.
GAUGAAGAACGUAGCGAAAUGCGAUACUUGGUGUGAAUUGCAGAAUCCCGUGAACCAUCGAGUCUUUGAACGCAAGUUGCGCCCGAAGCCAUUAGGCCGAGGGCACGCCUGCCUGGGCGUCACACGUCGUUGCCCCCCCAUCUACUCCUUCGGGAUUGCGGGGGGCGGAUGAUGGCCUCCCGUGCACCUCGCCGCGCGGUUGGCAUAAAUGCCAAGUCCUCGGCGACGCACGCCACGACAAUCGGUGGUUGCGAAACCUCGGUUGCCCGUCGUGUGCGGUCGUCGCGCAUCGAGGGCUCGAAAAAAUUGCCGGGUUCCGGCUCGGCUUUCAACGCGACCCCAGGUCAGGCGGGGUUACCCGCUGAAUUUAAGCAUAUCAAUAAGCGGAGGA